RNAcentral lists this ribosomal RNA (163 nucleotides) under Drepanostachyum hookerianum. RNAcentral describes it as "5.8S ribosomal RNA". It matches the Rfam family "5.8S ribosomal RNA". Rfam says of the family: 5.8S ribosomal RNA (5.8S rRNA) is a component of the large subunit of the eukaryotic ribosome. It is transcribed by RNA polymerase I as part of the 45S precursor that also contains 18S and 28S rRNA. Functionally, it is thought that 5.8S rRNA may be involved in ribosome translocation. Lineage: Eukaryota; Viridiplantae; Streptophyta; Magnoliopsida; Poales; Poaceae. RNAcentral also lists the same sequence under 29 other names. The record is from RNAcentral.
ACACGACUCUCGGCAACGGAUAUCUCGGCUCUCGCAUCGAUGAAGAACGUAGCGAAAUGCGAUACCUGGUGUGAAUUGCAGAAUCCCGCGAACCAUCGAGUCUUUGAACGCAAGUUGCGCCCGAGGCCUUUGGGCCGAGGGCACGCCUGCCUGGGCGUCACGC